UACGGAGGGUGCAAGCGUUAUCCGGAUUUACUGGGUUUAAAGGGUGCGUAGGUGGGCAGGAAAGUCAGUGGUGAAAUCUCCGGGCUUAACCCGGAAACUGCCAUUGAUACUAUUUGUCUUGAAUACUUUGGAGGUAAGCGGAAUAUGUCAUGUAGCGGUGAAAUGCUUAGAUAUGACAUAGAACACCAAUUGCGAAGGCAGCUCACUACACAAUCAUUGACUCUGAGGCACGAAAGCGUGGGGAUCAAACAGG
This 253-nucleotide ribosomal RNA is filed under the name uncultured bacterium. RNAcentral describes it as "partial 16S ribosomal RNA". It matches the Rfam family "Bacterial small subunit ribosomal RNA", at positions 524 to 776 of the family's 1533-position model. The record is from RNAcentral.